GCCUUCGUGGUGUAAUGGUCAGCACACUGAGCCAGUAUUUUAGAGGUCUGUGGUUCGAUCCCCGGCGAAGGCA
This 73-nucleotide transfer RNA is filed under the name Stegodyphus mimosarum. It matches the Rfam family "tRNA". From Rfam's summary of the family: Transfer RNA (tRNA) molecules are approximately 80 nucleotides in length. The record is from Rfam by way of RNAcentral. Lineage: Eukaryota; Metazoa; Arthropoda; Arachnida; Araneae; Eresidae.